CACGUAGUUAGCCGGCGCUUCUUUACCCACUACCCUCACCACAACCCAAAGCUGCGGCUUGACCAUGAGCGAAAGAGGUUUACAACCCGAAGGCCGUCAUCCCUCACGCGGCGUCGCUGCAUCAGGCUUUCGCCCAUUGUGCAAUAUUCCCCACUGCUGCCUCCCGUAGGAGUCUGGGCCGUAUCUCAGUCCCAAUGUGACCGGUCACCCUCUCAGGCCGGCUACCCGUCAAAGCCUUGGUAGGCCAUCACCCCACCAACAAGCUGAUAGGCCGCGAGCCCAUCCCCCACCAGAAAAAACCUUUCCACCAACCCCCAUGCGAAGGCCAGUGAAUAUCCAGUAUUAGCACCCGUUUCCGGGCGUUAUCCCAAAGAAGGGGCAGGUUACUCACGUGUUACUCACCCGUUCGCCACUCAUCCACCCAGCAAGCUGGGCUUCAGCGUUCGACUUGCAUGUGUUAAGCACGCCGCCAGCGUUCGUCCUGAGCCAGGAUCAAACUCU
RNAcentral lists this ribosomal RNA (501 nucleotides) under uncultured Actinomyces sp. RNAcentral's name for it is "partial 16S ribosomal RNA". The record is from RNAcentral. Lineage: Bacteria; Bacillati; Actinomycetota; Actinomycetes; Actinomycetales; Actinomycetaceae.